Molecule: ribosomal RNA, 253 nt
Filed under: uncultured bacterium
Lineage: Bacteria
Description: partial 16S ribosomal RNA
Rfam family: Bacterial small subunit ribosomal RNA
Source: RNAcentral
UACGUAGGUGACAAGCGUUGUCCGGAUUUACUGGGCGUAAAGAGCGCGCAGGCGGUCGAUCAAGUCGAGUGUGAAAGCCCCCGGCUCAACUGGGGAGGGUCAUUCGAUACUGAUCGACUCGAAGGCAGGAGAGGGUAGUGGAAUUCCCGGUGUAGUGGUGAAAUGCGUAGAUAUCGGGAGGAACACCUGAGGCGAAGGCGGGCUACUGGGCCGAUACUGACGCUGAUGCGCGAAAGCCAGGGGAGCGAACAGG